CGUAUUUCGUCGUUCGUCGCCGUCGUCGCCGCCUUCGUGUUUCUCGUCUUGUGCGUCUCUGUUCGAAUAUAAUCGUAAAAAAAAAAAAAUAAUCAAGUUUAUCAAGUGCGAUAAAUUUCACCUCGGGUCGUCCGCGAGAGUUGUAGUGAGUUGCGAGUGAGUGGUUUUUUUUUUCUCUCUUUCGCGCCGUCCGCGAGAUUGAAUACUGUCACGAUGACCGGACCGCAGCCGCCGCCGUCGACGUGUUUCGCCGGACUCUGAUCGAAAACUGUCCCGUCGGCCGGGUACGCCAGCUGUAAAAAUCCGGUUCGUAUUUCGUGAUUAACCCUUCCGACCUAACCGUCCGUUAUAUGACCGCUCCGUGACGGCGAAAAAAUACCGAUUUCCUCGGAUUUACCGGGCGGGGUUGUCGUCGUUUCUGGAGAGAACGAAAAAAAUUUAAAUUAAUUUUUCAAAAGGUACAAAAAAAAAAAAAUCGAAUCACUCGCACAAUUGUUUUCGCGAAACUUUCGCUCGGGAGUCUACGCGCGUUACUAUAGUAUAGGUACGGAACGCCUCGCGUAGAAUAAUUGACGGUUUCCGAUCGGGAGGGGGGGGUUUUUUUUUCCCGUCCCCGAGUCGAAAAAAGCUCAGACGAUGUCGCGUGUACCGGACGUCGAUUUUCGAAAAUGAAAUUAUUUCACACACCGAUCGAUAAACGAUUAACGGCAGAACACAACUUUACGAAUACGGGUUCGAGUGUACGAAAAAUAUGAAAACCGCACACGCUCGCUCGCUGUGAAAACUUUGCGCGCAUAAAAAAAACAUGAAAAGUAUAACGUUCCGAUACCCAAUAUAACGUACAAGCGAUCGUGUUUUUUUUUUUUUUUUUUUUUUUUUUCCGUAAUCGUUUUAAAAUAUCUACAUCGAAACGACAAGAGAUGAUUUCCACGACAGUGCUAUAGGUGAACAUUAACGGUUAACGAGGCGAAAGUGUAAUUUUAAUAACCGGCGGCUAUUUUCGUUAAAGGUAAAAAAAAAAAAAAAAAAACAACACAAUUUUCUUCAUUACCUACACAAUGAAACUAAGCACGUCCGGACCUCAUUAAGACCGCGGGACCGACGCGUCGCUUCACAAUUUAUUCAUUUACUGAACCGCGUUGUUAAAAUCGUUUUUAAACGUUUCGCGCAUUAUUUCCAAUCGACUGCAUAAAAUUGAACACGAUUUAUUAUCAUCGGUUAGACGAUCCAAUUGUCUUUGCCGGCCAACUCGUUUCUCAUUUGUCCGAAUUAGAUCAAAAGACGAUAGGCCCGUGGCCGCAGAUAAAACACGUCGCUCGGCGACCAGCGAGUGUACUUGUAUUACCGAAAUUCGGCCUUUUUAUUACGAAACGUUUUGCCGGACGGGCCGGCGCGCCGCCCGAAAGAUUUCUGAACUGCUGCUGCCGUCAUAUGCAAAAACGCCGUAAGCCGUUGGACAUCGUUUUUUGCGAAAAACGGGUUUGUAUGUUUUGGACUUUUUAAAAUUCGUCACACCACUUACGUUUUACCUACCAAACGUACGGUGCGGAUUUCCAUGUGAUAUUUCACCUGACAAAUGCGACGACAUGAACAUAGAUAAAUUCUGAAGUGCUCGACUAUUUACAACUGUUCCCAUAGUAUUGGUGUUCAGAACUGUACCGAAUGGACUCGUGAAUAGAAUCCGUUAAAAACAACCGACGAAUAACCGACAUUGUAUCGUUCUGUAAAGUUUCCAUAUUAUUAUAUUUUGACGAUUUGUCGGUUGCAAUGUUGCGAUAAGUAAAAGCACAAUCCGCGUUCAGCAUGAACGCCGCAAAUUAUUAUUUUUAUUAAACACUGAGCGAAAAUUCCGGAUCUUCGUUAAUAUAUACGGCGUUUUUACAUGGUAAAAAUGUAUUUUUCGACCAUUUGCGGCAUUCCGUCAAAACCAAUAUCGCUAAUAGUCGUUUUCUAAAAUAACGUUUCAGACGUAUGACGGCGUAUUGAUACAAGACGUCUGAAUUUUCUUUGAUGUAAAUAACUCAAACAAUAAAUGUAUACAAAUGUACAUUUUGAUGUAAAUAAUUCGUUUUUCAAUUGUUUCGGACUCGCGGCGUUUUUGCUUAGGACAACAGGAUACUAACCGUAUAAUAAAGACAGGUAUAGUUUGUUUUUAUCUUUUUUUUUUUAAUUUUUUAAUCGCAUGCAAAAACGAUUGGCGUCUUAUUGGCCCGCGGGGAAAACGAACGUUUCGAUAUUAUGUCUUAAUCGACGGGAAAAAUUCUCAACUCGUGUAAUUAGACGAGACUGCGCUGUCGUAAAAGAAAAAAAAAAUAUGCGAUAAUUCGGGAACGCCGGAUCACAUCUGUGACCGCAUCUGUUCGCGACGACCGUAAAACGAUUCUCAGCCGAAGCCGCGGCGAAACGCGCGUUUUGACAUUUCGCGAUUCUCGCGAGGUCAAUUCAAUAUACUCGUGUAAAACAAUAUCAAGCACGUAUGACGGCGGUUCUGUAAAAAUAUCGAUUCGUUAUAAUAGAAAGAAAAAAAAUAAUAAUAAUAACCACGCGCACUCCACGGAGCGUUCCCGAGUUUCGUGUCGGCGUUAGGUACACGCACCGGUUUCGGUUUCGCGAACUGUAAUACCAUAUCGUCAAGUAUAAGUGCCGCAAAGUCAACAUUACAAAACGCCGACGUAGACAAAUAUUAGUUUGAUACAAUGUAUUAUAGGAGAGCGGCCGACGAUUGUUUAAAACGAGACGAGAACCGAUACGCGACAGCGGGGCUCGUGAAGUUUUUACGUCGAGCUCUUUCUCGCGGCGUGUUAAAAACCGGAAACGCAUUUUCCACGAGCCGUAACGUUUGUAAAUUCGGAAUUUAUUUUCGAAUACGGUGUUUAGAAAAAAACGCACGACAAAUUCUGCAGUAUGUCGCGCGUAAAUGCGAACGGUUUCGGUUUGUAGAAAUCGUCGCCGGCCGGAAAAAAAAAACGAUCGGUACGCGACCGAUUUUAAAAUAAUCCGAAUAAGAAAUGCGCACGGGAAAAAUUACUACUGAAUUUUGUUCGCACGAAGCGAACGAAUUUAUGAUCGGAAAAUAUUGCCAACCGCGCGGAAUAUCUAAAAAAUAUUUGCUGCAUAAAGCGCACUUAUCGAAAUCUGUCUGUCUGUUUGGAAAACGGAUUCCAACGUUUUGAACGUUGUCUUGACCACUCGGUGUUACGGCUCGUUGGAAAUUGAUUACGAAAAAUGUACAAUAUGACAAGAAUCGGACAAUAAUAUAAUUUCCAUUUUUCCAACCCUCUCCCCUGUUGCAUUGUUUUUAGUUAUUGUUGUACCUUUCCCCUAUAUUAUAUAGAGCGUACCGCACUUUCGUUAUUGGUUUUCUAUAUUAAGUUUCGCCGUCCUCGAUUUUCCGCCACUCGACUUUCGACACGUUUUAAUUCGUCGACCAUUUUAUAAUAACAUAACAUAUACGUUUUUUUUUUUUUUUUUUUUUUUUUAACGUAAGUACCUUGUAUUUAUUUGUUAGGAUUUCCAUUCAUUUCUCCACGUAAUACGUCCAAGUUUACAAUAAAAAACUUAACACUGUAUAGUAUAAAAUUGCACCGUUGAAUGUAUAAAUAACUGCUCUGUACCUAUAUAACAACAUAAUAAUCCAUUCAUUUUUCCGACAAUGCAUUCUGCAAUGUAAAGAACAUGGAAUUUUAGCAUUUUUUUUUUUUUCGUUUUCGACUGUAAUAAUAAUAGUUGAUUGUAGCGCGUAGGAUUUUCAAUGGAAUAACCAAAAAAAAAAAAUAUACAUAUAUAUAUACGAAACCGCAUCGUGUAGGAAUCCGUGCGCGUAUAAAAAAAAAACAAACACAUAAUAUACGAAAUAUCGAUUUAUAAAGCGAAUUUCGUGACGGACCGUGCGAUAAUCGUAGGCAUAUUAUGUUUAUUCGCGAACAAAUUGUUGUUUUUUUAUUAUUUUAUUAUUUUUUAUGUCACGUUAGAAAAUCGCGCGUUGAUAUUUUUUCCGGCAUGAUGAUGUAUGCACGCUACAAGAUGUGAAUUCAGAACGGAAUUAGAUUGACAAUUUAUUAAGAGGACGCUACACACGAUGCAUUCAUCGUCUACGUCCUAAAAAAAAUCGGCACAGCCAAAUUUCGCGGUAGAACCGAUUCUCCGCUGAUAGUUUUAAAAUUAGAGUGAAUUGAUUUACAUCGAAUCAAUCAGGGAAGAAUAUUAUCCGUAUGGUUUUUCUUUAUUUUAAUUUUUAAGAGGGAUAAAUACAUUUUUAUAUUGUGAUAUUCACACAGCCAUAUUUCGCUUAAAAAUUUAAACAAUGAAAAGAAACCAAUGGAUGAACACAGCCGACAAUGUACUCGCCUUUAAGUUUGAAGUCAAUUCAUUAUAAUAUUAAAACUAACAGCACAACAAAAUUUGCUUUGCCGAGCGCAAAUCUUUUAUGAUAUGCGUUCAGCAGGGACAACUCUAUGCUGUCAGUUUUAAUAUUACAGUGAGUUCACUUAUUAUCAAACACGAAGAUAAGAACAUUAUCCGUGUCGUGUUGUCGUUUGUUUUUUCAGCGCCCAAGUUUUAAAACGAAAUUUGAGCGCGUGAAACAUGCCGAUUCGAAAAUGCUUACAUCUCGCUCAAAAAUUAAACAACGAGCGAAAAGACCGACGGCACGACAUAUGUAGCUAAUGUUCUUAUCCUUAAGUAUAAUAAUAGGUCAAUUCGCUUUAAUAUUACAACAAACAGCACAGAAUUGUCCCGGCUGGACUCGAAAAUUGUCUACACGCGUCGUGUGACGGAGACAGCACAUAAUGCGGGUAUGGCGACCUCUUAACAUUGAACAGUUUGUACCCGAAUUUCCGACCCUACGUAUCACUAUAAUACAGUAUACGUUUAUAAAAUACUGCUGUGUGAAAAUCGUUUGUUUUUUUUUUUCUACCGAUAACGAGGUACUUUGACGGUUUAUAAUAUUACGCAGCCGCAGCUGAUGAUCAAUUUUCCGUAAGACGUUCGUAACGAUAAUUUCAUUGAAAAUAUUAUUAUUUUGUUUUUUAUAGUUUUCUUUCUAUACAUUUCGGACACACACUGCACGCAGUCCUAAAACGUUCAGUUUCUAUACGCCCUUAAAUAUGUUUUGUUGCGGUGAGACUUUAGUGCCUUAUAUACUUAGACUUAUUUUGAUUUUCAAAUAGCGACCUCUAUAUUAUUGUAAUAUAUUGAAAAUACCAAAUAACGAUUAAGUUAUUCAGUUAUAGAAGUGAUAUUAGAACGUUCCCAUAAAAUCCGUCCGUAUACCCACUGCGCAAUAAUUUAUUAAUAUUUCGAAUAAAAAUAAUUGACAAUAAGGAAUCAAGAACAUUUCGCAGAUUAUAAAACGUAUGUAUCAUGAAUGCAAUUCGUAAUCUAGUGAUAAUAUCUACGAAUGCUGCCUCAUCAAAUGUAUACGAGUAAACGCUGCUUAUUUCAUUAGUUGAUGUACAGGUAGGCGUAGCUCGAUAGGUUAGGAAACGUUAGGAGUCGACUAGUCACGAGUUCGAACCUGGCCGGAACGCUAGAAUUGUUUUGCGUUUUUGUGGAUUUUUUUUCGGAUGAAUUUUUAAACGGUCAACCAGUACAUUUUUUCGGUUCAAAUAAGUUUUAUGCGGUGUAAUUAAUAUGCAUUAAAACGGCCAUAGAGUUCAAUGAUAUCUAAUCAUUCGUUAUUACCAUAAAGUAUUGAAAGUACAACAUUCAUUAAAUGUUUAAAAUAAAUAAAUAAUAUUUUCUAUUUUCGUUGUUACGAAAUUGGUCAGAAAUACUUGUGUGAAGUUUGCAAAAACUAAACAAGUCAAUGUUAUUAAAUUUUCGAACAAUAAUAUUAUUAUUUAUAAUGUAAAACAGUAUCGUAAAGUUGCUAUUAUUUAUUUUAAAACGAUAGAUUUUCAAAAACUAUCCCGAAGGUAGUCAAUAGUAGAUGUAGUUGCGCAAAGUAUACUGAUAAGUAAUUGCAUUUAUAGCGAAUUUUAAUUGCUUUGUUUUAUUUUUAUUUUUUAAUCGUCCGCGCACUCAGAAUAGCACAAAACUAUGGGCAGUAAACGAUUUGCAAACAAAAAUACAUAUAGUAGUUGGCGGUGACUGGAGAGUAGUGGAUCAUCAUUUGUGUGACGGCUCAGCGUGAUGCGUUUGUGAAUAGUACUCCAUUACUUUACUGCUAUCCAAACUUAAAAGUGAAAUAUCUCGUCAACGGGUAAAAGGAAAUCAAAAAUAUCGACUCGACAAUGUAUUUGAACUCCGUGAAUUUACGGAAUUUAUAUUAUCGACUGCCGUUUGAAAACCAAAAGUAGGUAGUCGUCUCACUUCUAAAAUUAAAGGCUACGAAAAACGUUUGUAAUGUAACGUUUUAUAUAGCUGCUGGUUAUUUUUUUUUUAAAUUACUGUGAAAAAUAAAUUCCAAAAAAAGUUAAUACAUUCCAAGAUAUCGAAACGGGCAUACAUCUUCGUGGAGCAUCCCGUAUAGUGCAAUUGCCUUGCUUUACCGCAGGGGUGUACAAAAAAAAAAAAAUAAAUAAAAAAACACACAUACUUUUCUCCCUCAACAACAUGGUGGAAUUCAACGAAAAUUGUUUCACUUAAAUAGGCCUACGGAACAACUCUAAUUCUGUUUUUGAGCUCAUUCGGUCCUGAGGGAGCCACUAAAAGUAUCCAAAAGUAGCGGGGAUAAGAUGUGUAAUAGACCUGUAAUAUAGCGCAACCAUCUCUAUUUUCGUGGAAAAUUCGGCCGAAAAAACCGGGGGGUAAAAAACCUUUACACACCGUCGUAAAACCAACCGUCCGAGAUACAUUCAAUAUUUCAGGUCACAUACAUUGUACGCUGAACGAAGGAUAGUUUUUCGUUAUAAUCGUAAAUUAUUGAUAUUCGACGCGAGGUUAUACUCUCGUUUUGAGAUUAUAUUUUCGUGUCCGGCUUCUGAAAAAAAAAUAAAAAUUAUAUAUUUUAUUAUUAAUUAGACGUAUACAGACGGACGGAAAAUAAAUUAUAAAUUAUAAUUACAUAAUUACCUACCUGAUCAAAAGCGUGAUAAACUAUUGAAGAACAGAGAGAGUCAAUAUAGGUAAUUAUCGAAACAUUUAAACGGCCGUUUAAUUUGACAUCAAAGUUUUGUGAAUAUUAUUUUAAUAAUUUUUUUUUUUAAACAAAUAUUGAAGUCAAAUCUAAAGUACCUUUUUUUUAAGGAACGUUAAAUUUUUGUAGUUAAUUCUUUAUAAUAUUUAUACGCAAGCCAAUGAUCGACAGAAUCAUGGAUUUUCGAUAUUUUAAGUUGGUAUUAAGCGCGGCGAUCAAGGGCGUCCGUAGGGACCGUGCCCUCCCCCACGACAUCAAACUAUCUAUUAAUAAUAAUUACUUUCAAAAAUCUGUGUAGAAUUUCAGAGUGUUAACGAAUUAUAAUCACGGCCUCUGUAGAUAGUUGUGCUAUAACAUUAAGCGGCCAGUGGUCACAUUAGUUAAAUGUAUAAUUUUCAUGAUCUAACAAAAGGAUGUUGCCCCCCCUUUCUAGAAUACUAAUCAAUUCCGCCACUGGUUGGUAUACAAAUAUGUUAUAAUUGUAAUGUUGAUAAUCCGUUUGAACCUCGGAUAAUACGAAAACAACUAUUGAUAGACCUGGUGUUGUUAAUGCCAACAGAACGGCUGACUCUUCCCAUCGAGGAGCGCAGCGUUUACAUUUUGUUUGUUGUUAAGAACCGAUUUGAUAGAUAUCAAAUUUAAAAAUAAAAUGUUUAUUACUAUCUACAUAUUAAAAUUGAUGAAAAGCCACAGUGAAACAUAUGAAAAUAAAUUAGUAAUACUUACCAGAACCGUUUAGCAGUACAUUUUCCAAGCACAGUGUCGACUUCGUAUCGGGUUAUCGGUAUCGUUGACCGACACUAACAGAGUUUGAUCAAUUUCCCGUUUUACAUUUCAAUAACACGAAUAAAUUCGAACAGUAUACAAAACAAUAUUAAUUAAAUUCGGCUUUUAUCACGAAACAAAACGUAAACGUGGACCUUUUUAAUAAGAAAAGUCGGUCAUUUUGUCGACUUCAACGUUCUACACUAAAUGGUAUUGAUGAGGGGAGAGGAUGGGAGGCAGCUAACUAGUUGUUUAUAUAACUGUGGUUAAAAACAUAAACAAAACAAGCACAACUUUCUUUUUGAUAGAAACGCGAAUAUUUGUGCGAGUUCGGAGGGAUGAAAAUAUUGUCGACAAUUUGCACUGUGUACAUUAGGUCUCUAUAUACAUUUUUACGCUUAUAAUUAUUAUAUUUCUAAACGAUUUUGACGUACAGAAAAAAAAAAAAAAAAUGGAAAACCCGCUAUAAAUCAAUUAUUUCUGAAACGUAUCCAACAAUAUAAUGACAUUUUAUUUUUUUACCGCAAGGUAAUAUAUUAUUUAUUGUGUACGACGAGGUGUGUUUCGAAAACGAGUAUACGUCUUUAUUACGCGUAUUUUGGUAAGUUUUGACAAAUGGAUUGGUUCGGAGGACGGCGGCGGCGUUAUUAUUACCUAUAUUUAUUAUUGUUUCGUUGUAUUUUUUUUUUUUUCUUAUCGAUUCGGACGGCGUUUUUUUCAUCAAAGAAAACGUUUUCACGGCGUUUGAGGGGGAGGGGAGAGAAAGAAGGCCUCCGAGAAGGGUUUACGUUUUUUUCGAAAAGAAAUGUUUUAAUAUUAUUUCGAACUUUGAAAACAAAAUUUCCGUUCUCCCUUCCCCCGAGUCUGAAUAGUUACAACCUUGUCGCCCGCAGCGGUGACGGUAUUUGUUACGCUUGUUCAACGAGGUCGUCCAAUUUUUUAUAAACGAAAUAGUAUACGGUGUUUUUUUUUUUUAAUUGGACAUUAAUUGCCAAUAUCUCAAUUAAUCGAACAUUUUCACUAGUGAACAAUUUUACAUCAAUAUUAUUUUUAUGAAUUUAGUUUGAUUUUGGCAAGCAAUUUGAGUAAAAUAUUUUUUAGGAGGUAUGGAAUUUCGAAAAAAAUAUUCUUGGAUUUUUAAAUUGUUCGUGGUGUGAUAUUUUUUAUUUUCGUUAUCACUUAUAAACGUUCGACGUUUUCGAUACUUAUAUACAUUACUAGUUUAUCGUCAUAAGUUUUUAUACCGAUUUCAAAAUGCAUUCGUUCACCCUUUUCUGUCAACACCCUUCAAAUCAUGUCAACGCAAUACUCUAACAUCUGUUUACCGAACGGUUAAAAAACGACCUACGAAAUCCGUAUGUCGGGCAAUUAAUUAUUAAUUAAUAAUACGUUUGUAGUUGUAGUUGAAGGCGUUUUUUCCCUCCAGCAUUGAAUGCCCGACAUAAUAAUAGCAAUAUUACUAAACUCGAUCGGUUUUUUGAAUAUGAACAAAAUAUCGCGUAAAACAGUGUUAACGGAGAACGAGUGCUCGUGUAAAAUUAUUAUUUUUUUCGUGCGGGUAAUAUGACAGAAAUCCGUAUUAUCCGAAAAUCCGGAUGGUGAAUUUUUUAUAUCAAAAUUUUCUUCCGGAUUCCGGAAAUCCAGUGUAACCGUUGAUUUUGACUACCCAACGAUUUGUACGGGAAAAGUCGAACAUUUUUUCCGAAUUCAACUACCGUUUUUUUCGACUCCUUGAUGGAAAAUCGAUAGCUCUUGGUCUAUUUCGACUAUUUUCUUUUUACAAUUUUCCCUAACGCUCACUAAUUUUGUUCUACACAUUUUUUUACUAUUUUUACAAUUUUAAUUAAAUAGUUGAUUACCUUGCAUAUUUGUUUUUAUUGACGAAAAUAAAAUAUAACAUAGAUAGGUACUAUUGUAAUUAAUUUUAAUUAAAAAUUACAUGUUUAUAUGACUUUAAAAAUGUUUUUUAUUACUAAAUAAAUAUAUUAUUAUGAUUUAUGAGACCUUUCUUUGAUACGAUUAUUAUAAUAAGUCGUAUUUUUACGAUAGGUACUAUUUGAGUUAUUUUUUUUUCUGUUACAGUUUUAAUGUGUCAAUUUAAUACCUGUACAAAGACGGUAAUUUGUCCCAUGUAUUUCUCAUUCUGACUUAGAUUCAGAGAAUGGAUUGAUUUUACAACGAUGUUUAUUUUAUUUUAUCUUUUUCUGUGAACACCUUUUCUGCCAGUAGUUUUGCUCCGAUUAUCAAGUGUAGUACAUUUUUUGAAAGGGAAUUUUUUAAGGGUGGUAACUUAAGCACACUAUUUUUUAAUUUUCUUAGUCAUUUUCAUAACAAUUAGAAAAAAUCAAGAAAAAACAUUGGUAAAACGGGAAAAGUACAUACAUAAAUGAAACUUUUCUCGGAAUGGGUUUUUUUGUCGGCAAUAAUAGCGAUCCCCCACCUAUGAGCAUUAUCGUACCUAAGGCUUUUUGUAUAAUGUAUGCAUAUAUAUAAUGUCUUUAAUUUUAGGUUUUUAAAUAUUUUUUUUACAAAUUUUGAUAUUUAAUUACCUAGUUAUUAAUUUCUAAAACAAUUGUUCUUUAUUUACCUGAAUAAAUUAUGCAAAUUAUAAAACAAAUCGAAAUUAUUAUUAAUGCAUAAUAAAAAAGAAACUGGCAAAAUUACUGGUAAAAAAGGUGUUCACAGAAAAAGACAAAAUAUAAUAAACAUCACUGUAAUAUCAAUACAUUCUCUGAAUUAAGUCAGAAUAAGAAAUACAUGGAACAAAUUACCGUAUUUUUACAGGGACUAAAUUGACACAUUAAAACUGCAACAGAAAACAUGUAGUAUUUAAUUAAAAUUAAUUACAAUAGUACUAACCUAUGUGGUAUUUUAUUCUCGCUAAUAAAAAAAAUAUACAAGGUAAUCGACUAUUUAAUUAAAAUAGUAAAAAUAGAAAAAAAAUUAGAAAUGUAUAGAACAAAAUCAGUGAGCGUUUAGGAAAAUUAUAAGAAGAAAAUAGUCGAAAAAAACCAAAAGAUAUCGACUUUCCGCCGGGGAGCCGAAAAAAACGGAAGUAGAAUUCGGACAAAAUUUUCGACUCCCCUACGAAAUCGACUCUCCCAGUACAAAUUGUUACGUAGUCGAAAUCUACGGACACACCGGGUUAUCGAACCUCGAAAAGUCAGGAUUUUUCUCAUGACUUAUAGAAAUAUUAUAAUCGUCGUGACCCGGAACAAUGUCUGCUAAACGUCGGUAUUUUUCGGACGUGAUAUAAUUUCCAAACUAAUUCGUUUCCGCUCGAGUUAUUUUUGUAUUUAAACAGAAUAAAAUAUUGUCAAAUAAUAUUUUUUCAGCUUUCCCCCACCCCUUUUUUUUCGACCAAACAUUCGAAAUCGUAUUACGCAAUACGUCCGUAGUCGUGCAUUUUCCUUUUCCCUAUAUUAUAAUAUCGCGGCAGUGUUAUGACGACAAUAAUAUUACAUACAAAUGCAUUUUUUCGCCCUUUUCUGUCAACGGCACCCUCUGAAAUCACGUCAACGGAAUAAUAUAACAUCUGUUUACCGGCCACCGUCGCGCUUGUCGAAAUCCAUAUGCCGGACUCGAGAUUCUAUUAUGGGCGUACACAGUACGCGCGUAUAAAAAAAAUAUUAUUAAUUAGUAGUUGUCGUCGACGGUUUUUUUGUAAAAAAAAUGUUUUCAUUUAGCACACCGGGAUGAAAAGACGUAAACCAUGGCCUUUGACAAAAAUUAACGGAGGGCCGCGUUCGAAUUAAAUAAAUUCGCCGACUUCGGCAAACCUAUCGCGUGUACCGGUACCGUCGAAAAAUAUUUUUGUUUCCUGCAUUAUUUUGUUUGUCGAUGAACAAUUGUUGUUAGGAAACAAGAUUGUCGGCGGUACGUUAGAUAUCUAUAUUUUGUGUCUUGCACGGGGUGUUUCAUAUCUUUCGGAUGGUUUGUCGGUAUCCACCGCAGUGUUUAUAGAGAAAUAGAAAUCAAUUACACAAAAAUGAUCGGAAAAACGCGGCACUCGUUCGAAAAAUGACAAGAACCGUUUUCCGAAACACGGCCCGGUCGCAUAUUAACAUACUAUUAGUACCAUAGUAUACUGCACACGGUUUACCGAUGUGGUUUUGCGCAAACAAAUCGCCGGGUUUGUUUUCGAUUAAUUUCUUUCGUCCGUCCUCAUCCGUUCCACUUCGCCGAGCAUUUAUGCGAUUGCAAAUGUUACAAAUUUAAUUCACGGCGAAGAAAUUACGCUUUCGGACCGUUAUAAUUAAUCCUUAUCAUUAUUUGUCUUUAUCGUUAACUACCGUUUAUCCACCACACGCGAGCGGUUCACGGUUCGCGGACCGUGCAUAUUCGUCGAGUUUUUUUUUUGUAUUUAAAAAUUCGUCGGUCCCUUUGGUUUUUUUUUUUGGUGAUUGAUCGUCCGAUCUUUCGCGAACGGUUCCGGGCCGAUUUCGGACCUCGAACCGCGAACACCGAAUAACAAUCAUAACCGUAUAACCGUCGUUAUUGUUGCGUCGCGUCCGAUCGUAGGCGCAAAUAGGGGAGGGUCUCCGGGGCGACUUGUCCUUUCCCGAAAAUCCGACCUCCCGCCCGACGAAGCCUGACCGAUGCGUUACGGUGCGUUAAGUCCCCCACCCGCCGAAAAAAAAACCAUUUAUACCGGCAAUUCACGCCGUUCGAUUUUCGUUUGGGAAACGAAAUUCGUAUAAUAAUGUUAUUAACCGCCGUUUCGGGAUUUUUGACGCGCGGACCCACCCGUUCGGUCCGCGCGCCUUUACCGCCGCGUUCGCGUAUUAUUAUUCGAUCGCACCGCGGCGACGGCGAUUAUUGCGCGCGAAUAAUGGCCGCGACCCCACCGGUGUGGCCGUCGUUGUUAGCGGACGACAACAGCAAUAAUAAUAAUAAUAAUAAUAAUACAAAACGACAAGUACGCCGGGCCCGUAACCGCAUCUCUAGCGGAACCGCGAGGGGGGGGGGGGGGGGGGGCAAANNNNNNNNNNNNNNNNNNNNNNNNNNNNNNNAAAAAAAAAAAAAAAAAAAAAAAAAAAACGAGCGUUGCGAAAUAAUAAUAAUAUAAGAAUAAUGCGAUUACAAAUAGCGUACGUCGGUCGUACGCGAUAACGCGCGGACGAUUUUUUUUUUUCCCCCCGGGCGAAAUCCGAACGGAUUGCAGUAUUUUCGGCCGUCGACUACGCGGUCCGUUCGCGACGGUCCGUACCUGACGUAGGUGUCCAGGGCCACCGUUCGAAAAUAAUACGCGGGAUUUUUUUAUCGUCCUAGGUGCAGGCGCGGGGGAGUAGUGUUGAUUUGUACGCUCUGACACGCGGCAAAACGACUCGCGAUAGAACGUACAAAAUAUUAACACUGCUUUUGCAUAUAUUUAAAAUAAGAGAUAAAAACAGACGGACGUACUUCGCACGUGGGCGCAGCCACUGUUGUAGGCGGGAAGUUGAAAAUCUAAAUAGGAAACGGACGGGAAUUUAAUAGUUAAUUAUCUGCGAGUCAGCAACGAUAUUCAGUUGCUAACGGAUAUACGAUUCUGAUCGGAGUUCAUUUGAUAGUGUUGCUUUAUCAACAAUUUAUAACAUGUCAUAUUAUAUGAAAUAAUGAUAUCAACAAUGUGCGUGUCCGUGGCAACAAUGAUUGUUUGAAAAAAAAAAAAAUAAUAAAAACUUAACAAUAACAAUAAAUAAAUAAAAACGGUUGCCAAUGACAACCUUAUUUUUAAUUUGGGAAUCUUUUUUAACCUAAAGAACCAGGUGUUCUCAUUAUCUCGAAUAUUAACGACCUGUUUAAAAGUACCACCCAGGGAACAUUUCCUUUUAGAAAAGGUGCUAUACUUGAUAAUCGGAGUAAGCUUAUUGGUAGAAAAAGUGUUCACAUAAAAAAAAAAUAACAAAAAAAUAAACAUCAUUGUAAAACUAAUACAUUCUUCGCUCCUCUCACAUAUUAUUUUUAUACACAGAGUGAUAAAUCUAUCGUAAAACUCUCAUUAUCUCAGAAAACAUUAACUUUUUUCAGAAUUUCGUUUACAGAAUCAAGAAGUUCUACAAUUAUAUAUUUAUGUUAUUUUUUUAUCAUUCUUAUUGUCGAAGGUAAAUCCACUAUUUUCUUUUGAUUUAUUUUUUAACGGAAACCUAGAUAUAUUAGGAUUCCACGGACAGGUAGAUGAAGUAUUAGUUAAAAUACAUUUUGGCGUUGGCAUUUUUGAUUUCCGUCAUUCCGUUGACGAUAUUUUUCACUUUUCAGUUUGGGUCGGGGGAGAGUAGUGACAGAUUGAUCACCCUGUACAUGCAAUAUGAUUAUCGUGUGUAGACAAAGUGUAUUAUUCGUAACCAUUUUCACAGGUACAUGAAGUCAGGUUGAGCCGAUUUAGUCAAUUUGUAUCCCGGCGUUUUUUUGCUUGUAUACCAAACGCUCACUGGUUUUAGGCAGAUAUUCUCUAAGUAUUUUUAAAAUACAAUAAUACAUUUUAUCCUACAACAAUAAUAAAAGUAUUUUAAACGCAAUUAAAAAAAAAAAAAAAUAAUACCAUUGAGCAACGGAAUUCCGUCACUUGAAUCGAAUCUUAGAGCCACCGAUAUAUAUUUCUUUAUUUUAAAAAAAAAUUGUAUACUUUGUCUAAAAUACACGAAUUAAAAUUCCAGAGUUUUAUUACAAAAUUGUUAGUCCAUAGGGAUAUUUAAAACCUCGGCAUUUUUUACGAAGACAUGGAAUUUGAGCGGAAUCUCCGUUGUUAUGGACGGAGUUGAACAUUAAACUCCCCAAAGCCGCGGAUAUGACAGUUACACCGUGAUGGACAUACACAAAAUGUCAUUCUCCUGGCUCCAUCCGGAGGCUCCGUUGAGGUGUACGAAACUAAAAAAAAAACACACUGCUCCAGCAACAGAAAAAUGAAAUUUAUAAGGAAAUUCAACGAAAAUGUUAUCACUUGACAUUCGCCAAAAAAAAAAAAAACAACGUUAAUUCCGCGGUUUGAGAUCGCCUGGUAUAUACGAGGGAGCCGCUGAAAGUGUGCAAAAGUAGAGGGGAUAUGAUAAUGUGUAACGGGCAUGCAAUAUAGCGAAACUGUCUUUAUUUUCGGGGAAAAUUUUAACGAAAAACCGCGGGGAGGGGGGGGGAGGAAACCCUGACACACCGUCGUUAACCCAACUGUCCGGAAUAUAUUCAAUGUUUCAGGUCAUAAUGAUACAUAAUAUAAUAUAAAGGUUAGUUUUUCGUUGUAAUCGUAAAUUAUUGAUAUUCGACACGAGGUUAUAAUAUGCGCGCUUUGAAGUUGUAGUUUUGGAUUCGACUUCGUAAAGAGAAAAGUCGAGACGUUUUAUUAUUAAUUAGGUAUAUAUAUAUAUACACCGACGGGAAAUAAAUUAUAAAUUAUAAUACAAAAUAUAAUAUAUGUUUCUAUAAUUUCGUGAUUAAUAUUUUAGUAAUAACUUGACUAUUUUCUUUUUACUAACCCGAUUGAUAUAUAAAUAUAUAGGGUUACAUAGUUUAUAACCCAAUGUCAGCAACGAUAAUUUUUUUGAAACCAUUCUGAGCGGAAUAACGUUAAACACUUUGUUUGAACAAUUUAAAUCGCGUUAAUUUGUCACUGAAAAAUAAAUUAUAAUACAAGUUCAAUACAAUGUAAUUACAAUUACAAUAUUAAAUCAUAAAUUUGAAUUUAAGACACUUAAAAAAAAAAAAAAAAAAAAUAAAGACUAUAGGCUCGUUUUUUAUUUUUAUUUUAACAAAAUUGAGCAUCUUAUCUUGUAUCAAAUAUUCGAUCAUUUUUGAGAAGUCAAAAAAUCGCAUCUGCAUAAAAUUAAAAAUAUUCGAUCAUUUCAACGAGGUAUGUAUAUAACUUAAACCGUACCAUGGUAUCUAUAUAAUUGGACCACGUCUGAAGAAUACUUAUAAAAGUUUUCGGAGGAAAUUUAAUGUCACCAGGAAUACUUUUCGCUGAAUCACAAAAUAAAACAAAAUCGAUUUUAACAGAAGCCGCUGUACCGUAAAUAUAUCCGGUUUUCUUUCAUUAUUAAAAGAAGUAAAAAAUCAAAAAAAUCAAUGAGACAAAAUUGUCAAACAAAUCCAUUCCUGGUAUUGAUGAUCGCAAUAAGAUUUCUGGUUCAAAAUUAAAUUUUCAAUUAACCUUUUAUUGAUUUAUUUUUAUUAGGUAAUUUAAAGUUUGCAAAAAAAAAAAAAAAAAAAAAACUUGUACACAAAAAAAGCCAACGAGGAGACGGGGAGCACGGUUUCGGUGGCAAGACAAGGGGGGGAGGCUCAUUUCUCCAUGGUUGUCUUUCUGAUUUUUUGAUUAAAACUUGUAAAAAGAAAAAAAAACCAACAUUGAUUUAGCGAAAAUAUUUCCUCGUGGUAAUAACUAAUUAUUUUUUUAUUGAUUAUGAUAUAAUGGAUACAUACACGAAUUGCUAAAUUGUAUUGAAUUAUAUCUUUUUUUUAAAAAAUACAAAAAUGUUUAAUAUACGAUAAAAAUUAAAAAAACAGUUUUCAGGGUGACGAUUAAUGUUAUAAUGUUAGAUAGUGCGAUUUGACAGUGAUUUUAUGAAAUAUUAUAAAAAUUCUAGGUGUUUCAGGGUUUAUUAUUAUUUUUUUUUUUUUGUACAAAUUGUAAUUCUUACCGAGAAUUCAAUAAGUUUUAAUUUAUGUAUUAAGGGUUUCUUAAUUCUCCUGCCGCAUAAAUACGCCCGAUUAGAAUAUGUAUAUACAUUUUUUUCGUUUUGGAAAAGGAUUCAAAUUCGUACAUAUAUUUGCACAUUGGACUCGAAUCAUAGAGUCUGCGAAUUUUCAAAUUCCAAAUCCAAUGUACUCCUAUGGUUAAAAACCUUCAAUUUUCAAAAAAAAAAAAAAAAAUUAUAAAUGUUUAAAAUCUGACUGCACUACGAGACGGGAUAGCUGAAUCUGUAUUAAUCUGUAUUGAUCCGUAAUAAGCGUGUUUUCGGGGGAAAAAACAUGUCGCGCGCACUGUCCUUCGGGAGUUUUUUCGUCUUUUUCGAACCUUUUUUUAAAAUUCGAUCGGGCGCCCUUUCCGGAAUGAGCGAUUCAUACAACGGUUUUCGGGCCAAGCGCGAUGUCCGGCCGAAUAGUAAUAUUUUAUUUCCCAAACUAAAACCGAACACUAUAUAAUGCAACGUAUCGGUCGGUCAGUGUUCGGAGAAAACAAUAUUAUAAAAUGCCCGUUCGGCUGUGUAAUACUGCAGACGGACGUUUAUUAAUUUUGGAUUUUCGAAGUAUUCGCGUUCCGUAUCGUAUCGCAUCCGAACCCGAACGGUUCGGUCGCUCCGUGUAAAGGUGUAUUUAGGUGUGCGACAAUAGAAUUUCGCGAGUCGCGAGUCGCGCCGCGUAUUGUACAAAAAAACGAAUAAAAACAUUCCGCGCCAUCGGGUGUUAUUUACGAUAUUCUAUUCACUCUCUGUCCAUCUAUCUAUCCGCGUUUGUAUACGGCGUACACGAAUUAAAAAUUAACGAGCGCAGUGUGACGGCCUACGACUUUUUCUCCCUUUCCCGCGUUGUAGUGUUCUCGCGUUACGUUUGUCAUUUAUUCACGGUUUUCCUACCGCUCGCCUUUGCGUAACGCGAAAUAUAUAUAAAAAAAAAAAAAUAAUAAAAAAAAUAAGGCGAUUUUACGAGCUCGCGCGCGUCAAUCCGCGCCGUGCGCGCAUUAUUGCGUACAGUGCCGUUUAUGUCGGCCACGAGACGACAUUGCGAAACUGCAGACGCGCGCGAAUUUUUUUCUCCGUUUCACGACCGGGACAACGAGGUGCCGCCGUUCUCGAAAUUAUUCGCCGGGCCCGUUGUCCGCGACCGGGCGCGGGAAGUGCCGGUUAUUGUGUCGAUUAUUUUUUCGGGGAAAAAAAAAAAAAAAAAAAAAAAACCCAUUCGGGAACGGAAAAAAUGUACGGUACGGUCUAUUAUCGAUUUCCGAACGAAAAUUAAGUNUUCCUACCGCUCGCCUUUGCGUAACGCGAAAUAUAUAUAAAAAAAAAAAAAAAAAAAAAAAACCCAUUCGGGAACGGAAAAAAUGUACGGUACGGUCUAUUAUCGAUUUCCGAACGAAAAUUAAGUCGAAGUUUUUUUUUUUGUAAAAUCGAAAAUCGUGCAAACGUUUCGGAAAACCGCAUGGCCCGCUGAACGUACACGCUCAAACAGUUUUCCGAACAAACCAAAUCGCCCCUGAUAUAUUGUUACUGUCGUCGCCCAUUCGUAUCACUUAUACCAUAUAUAUAUAUAUCUAUUUCAUCUCCUCCGGCUUCAUUUGGAAAUGCCGCUUGUGCGCCACUCAAAUCGCAAUGCAAAAAACAUUCGUUUCAUCGGUGAUCAUUGUUUAAUAGAAAUUCGCAAUAAUUUUGUUUAGUAAUACGUUGAUUGUUUCAUUUCGAUAGUUUGAAUUUGAUUUUCGUAUUACUGUUAUAUAUAUUUACCAACUAUAAACAAUAUGGAUGUACAAUGUAUGAGAAGAGUACAAACUGUAUAGAUAUUAAAAUAUACUCUCAACAAAAUGAAUGAGAACACCACUGUACGAAGGUACAAAAGAAAAAGAAUAUUCCGAAGAUCUAUUUCAAUUAACAGUAUAUAUAAAUAUAGAGGUGCGCAUUUCUACUAUAUUUCUAAAAUAAACUAUGUAUAAUAUAUAUACAUAUAUAUAUAUAUGGUAGUAGCGAGGUAGGGGAGUGAAAAUUUAGUGUAAUGGCAGAGAGAGAGAAUUGCCGAGUAUAUGUAGAGAGUGGCCGUGUAGUGGCGAGUAGUGGCGGAGAGGUAAGUAAUAUCCGCACACCGGAGUAUAAUUUAAUUUAUUGCUAUACACGACGAUGAAUUAUAUUGUAUUGUCGAAAAACGAUUCUAAGCGAUGUUCGAGUAAAACGUUGGUUUUAUAUAUUUUAAUAUUUAUUAAUUUAUUUUAAAUUUGAAUUGUACAAAAUACAAUAAAUUGUUCGUGUAAUCGUGUUAUUAACAAAGCUGUACACAAAAUUCGAACUUCAAACGCUAGUGAUAAAAGUAAACUACUAAACUUCCAAAAGAAAAAAAAAACUCAAACAUUACAAAUAGCUGUUAAUCACUUUCAAAAUAGACAGAAUAUUUUCGAAACUAUUGUAUCACGUCCAGAAAGUAUAUGGCAAACGUUCAAGCCUUAACGAUAAUUUUCACAGAAUUAGAAAAAAAUAUAUAAUAAUAAUAACAAAAAUUCGUAACAUUUCGGUUUUUUCCUUCGUUUUCCCACCAUUAUUCCGAAAACUACGAGGAUAAUAAAAAAAAAAUGACACGUUUAACGCUCCAACUAUAUACGUAAUUCGCAAUUAGAAAUCGUCCAUAUCGAUAAAUGGACCAAGAGGAUUUCGGUUAGAAAAUUCACAAAAAAAAAAAAAAACAUUUUGUACGGGUUGAAACAGAAGACUUUCCACAGAUCGUGUUGAACUCCGUUCUACGAUAUUUUUAUUUUAAACCACAUAAUACCGUCUAGAAAAAGAUCAAUUUUUAAUUUUUUUUUACUCGAUAGCUUUUCUUUUUAUAUACCUGCCAUUAUAUUAUGGAAUCAAAUAAAAAAUUGUAGUACAAUGCGGUCCAUAAUAUAAUGUUGUUGCAGUAAUCGGCUAAAAGAAAAAAAAAAAAAGCAUUAGGAAACUACUAUGUUGACAACGAUUCUUCCUUAUAGCUAUAACUCGCAGAGUAAUUAUUUUCGUCCGUAAAACCGGCCGCAUCUCUUCCUCCUAAGCGGGUAUCGGGUAGUAAAUUCCGCGGUAAAGUGCUAUUCUAAAUGUUACGAAACCGGAGAUAAUUCGGUAUACCGAUAGGUACCGGGUUUCGGGAGAAAAAAAAAAAGCACACAUCACAGCGAUGUCAAUACGUUCCUCGUCACGCUCCGAAUUCAAAGCGAACGAAUAAUAACAUAAUAUAUUAUGCGUACGAGUAUUCAGUAUGAUAUACAAUGUUGUCAUUUCGGUGUAUUCAAAAACUUGACGCUGUAUUUAAAUGAGUAAAUCGCGUGAAUAGUUUUAUAAAUUCCCGCAUACUUACGUUCGUUUUUUCAGACGGCAGACAUUUUCGUUGACACUUUGUUGACAUCAAAAACGUUCGGCUGUUUCGAUAAUUAGCAUUAAUGCAGCGUUAUUUCUUAUAACAUGUUCCGAGAAACUUCAAGUGAAAACUAAUUAAUGAUCUUCUUUACAAUAUUUUCAAAAUUUACCCUUAUCCCGUGUACACCGUAAAAAAACACACUGUUCACUUCCAUAGUAAAUCGCAUAAUUACAUUUUUAAAUGUACCACAAGAAUCGCUUCCCUUCCCGAUAUUAUCUUAUCCGGUCUACAUUUUAAACUGCUAUGUAACAUCCGAUACGAGUGUAUCGAGCCUAUCGAUAUUUUUUUUAUGUAAAAUAGCCUUUUGUCAAAAAUACCGGAAAGCUAUUGAUCUUUGACGUUCAAAAGGUGUUACCACUUUUUCGGGUGCCCGAGAAAUAAUAAGGAGGUGAUGGGGGAAAUUCAAAAACGACCACAAACUUAAACGAUUUCAUUAAUAUUGUAAUAUGAUUGUCACAAAACCGAAAUCAAUUUCACGGAAAAAUUCUCCGAGGAAACCGUUACGCGAUCGUGAUAAAAAUAAAAUAAUCAUCCUGUAUACCUAUACGCGUUGUGAUUGGACGGAUGAAGCAAGUAUCAUCGUUCUACCGCGUUUGCGCACAUGACGUAUAAACGUAUAUUACGUCGCAAAUGUUCAGUGCUCCUGUAUAUUGUUUUCUUAUUAUAUUAUACUUGUAUAAGUAUACGUAUCCAUAAGAAUAUCGACGCGGAACCCGCUGUAUAAUAUUAUUGUUGCGUCAGGCGUGGAACAACUGUAAUAAUAACAAUGACAACGAUGGUAAUAACGAUCGCGGUGUACUUAGAUACGUCGUCGUAUACCUAUACUUACCGGUCGGAUAUUGCCGUAGAACACGUGAAUAAUUUUCCUAUAUAGCGGCGGAACGACUAUUAUUUUUUAUCAUAUAAAAAGCACCUAUUAUAACGAUAACGACUAUAAUACAGCUGUAUCACUGCGGUUUUAUUGCGAGGGAUGGGGUGAAGGGCGUGGAUCGUCUCUCCUCCCCCCACCAUAUACGUUUGUACGUAUAUCAGCCUAUCAAUGGGGAGGGGGUGAAAUUGGAUUGAUUAUUUGUACCAGUAUAUUUUGUAUACGUGUAUAGUUUUUUUUUUCUGACUUGCAGGCCACCUAAUACCUUUUGCCGCUCCUUCUCGAUUUCCGUCGUUCCCCGCAGGCUUCCGAAUCUUUGUUCGCUCUAUCAAGCCAUCUCUGGCAGGCUCUACCUCUUUGUUCCAUCCCGCUUGGUUUAUUGAUCAAGUUCUUAUGUAUUAUCUUAUCCUUUGUCCGCCAGACAGGGCUAAUCCAGACUCCCAGUUUCUAUGGUCUUUUGGCCUCGGAUAGUUUUAUGCGUUUUGUCUAUAUAUACUUUUCUGACCCCCAGUUUCGUACGGACCCUGCAUUAAUGUAAUGUAUAUUGUAUACACACAAUUUUAUGUCUGUUACCUGCUCUUCGGGACUUGUCGAAACCCGCCACUGAGAUGUACACGGACCGUGUUAUGCUUACCUCGAAAAUUGCUUACAAAAUACUCGAAAACACGUCAAACGGACAUACAUGUGUGUUGUGUCUCGUGGGGGUGAAUCGAAAAAGAAACAAUGUCUUUCGUCGAAUUUUUACGAUGACCUUUCCUUUGGUUUUACAGUGUACCUACCGCUUAAAUGCUCUUGCACACGCGGACAGAGAAAAUAAUGGAUUUUAAAUGUAAUAAAACAAAUGUCAUAAGCGUGUUCAUAGUCGCGAAAAGGGCAUCCGACUAUUUUAUUUAUUUUUGUUCAAGCGGUUAAAGACAUUAUUCUUUCAUUUUCGGCGCGCAAUCGAAAUCGGCGGUUCCUAUCGACCGAUUCCUAAUAUGUAUCCGUUCGCUAUUUCAAACUUGAAACGUGAGCACAAUAUACGUAUAUGUAUAAAUUGUUUUUUUUUUUUUAAAACGUAUAUAUUAAUCGGCAACGAGUUUGAGAGUUUGAGAGUUAUUUAUGUCUGUAGUUUAUUUCAAAACCUUUUAAUUGCACGCGAAGGCGUCCGGACUUUAAAGGGAGAGGGCAAACUAAAGAAUUUUCAGACGUUUCGCAACUCUUAUGAUACUGCUUGAACAAAUCGGCAAAUUCAUGUAUUCUUUCAAAAAAAAAAUAAAAAAUAAAAAAAAUAUGAAAAAUCCAUCUUAGUAAAACUAUAAUGGCUUUUUCGGUACAUUCCGAAUAAAAACAAAUUCGUAUUCAUAAAGUCGAGUUAUUUAUAUAAUAUAUGUAUUAGUAAGUAAACUUGCACCGUAAAUGUAUUUCGACCGGGGGUUUAAUGCGAACACAAGAAAUAUAAUAUUUAAAUAUUUAGAAUCGGCCCGUGUACUUAUUAAAAAAACAAAACGUUCAAAACGGCAAUAUUAAAAGCUCGACGACAAAAAUAAAUAACAAUGCAAUAUUUUACAUAAUAUUUUAGUUGCGAAAGUUUCAAACAUGCGCGAAGCCUGCAGAUUGCAUAAAAGAAAAUUAUACUUGGGUAGUAAUAUUAUUUUCGCGGGCGAAUCGAAUCGUAAACGUUCCCGUGAAACGUGACGAGACGCCCGUCUCGAGGUUCCGAACCGCGGGGAUAAAAGCUUUGUACUGUGGUGUCUGAACAAACGGAAAAAAAAAAAAAAAACGCCGAAAUCGAAACGGGUAAAAACCGACGUCUGACACCCGGCCAUCGCGCUUGCGUAUCACAAAGCUGCGAUCAUACCUAUAGAUUUAGCCACGGUUGGGCGAGUGCGAGCGUCUGCAGCGUUGCCCUGAAGAAAAAAUUCGUAAAUUUCCCCGUCACAAUACACUAUUUUCGCUGCGGUCGAAUGUUGUUUUGUUUUUAUCGCAAUAGAUAACAACGUUGUUGUUGUUGUUUUUCUUUUGUCGUCUCGAACCGCGACGUUCCCGCGGUAAUACGCCGAAAACAAACUCCCCGCGCGGCGCGAACCGCUCUUUUUAUUAUCGCGUGAUAAUAAUGUUGCGAUUAUCAUGAUAAUAAACGGCGACGAUUACGGCGUCGGAUCGCCGCCGCGGAAUCGUUUGUUAUUAUUAUAUGCGCGCACGUUGUCGUCGUCGUCGUCGUCGCCGUCGUUCAUCGGGACAAUAAAACGCACGGUAAUUACCCGGUAAAUAGCACGUGGGACGUUUAGACGUGGCGCGUUGUGCGUCGCCGCCGCCGUCAUGACUCACCGCCCCCGCACCCGCGGCGGGUUACCGGGGUCGAUUUUCGGGAGGGAGGGGGGGGGUCGGAAAAACAAAAGGCCAAAAAAAUAAAUAAAUAAAUAAAUAUGAAAGAAAAAAAAAAAAAUAGAAGAAGGGUGAAAUCCGUUUGCGGAACGGUAUAACUACCGUUGCGCACGCCAUCGUAAUAUUCCAUGGCCGAACGGUUUCGCGUUGUCCGCGCACGUCCAUGUUGUACACACAAACACCGUGAACUACGCAAACGGAAUGUCACCGUCGUCGUUUCCGCGCACGCACGUAAUGCGUUCGCGUUACACGUGAUAAUAAUAAUUGUCGUUAUUGAAAAGGGCUCCGGAGCAGGUUGCUGUUUGACAAUCAAAACGUAAUACUCGUUUUUAUUGUGCGAUGCGCAUUGUUACAACGAGGCGUGUAACAGGGGCGGUCAUUUGAAAACAACGUUGAAACAAUAAAGUGUAGAUAAUUCCGUGAUCGCUGAAAAAAAAAAAAAAAAAAGAAAGAAACGGAAUUUACUAAAAUUUCUCCCGAAAAAAUGAAAUUUCACCGUUCGUACACGCAUAUCGUCGUAUUGAACGAUUUUAAAAACAAAUCGACUUUAGCAGCGAAGAAACAGAAAUUAGUACUUUUAUUUUCACCGCUAACUGCGAUGUAUCUAAUCAAUCUAAAACGACGUCUUGUACUUUAGAUUCUGAGCGGUUGGUUUCUUUUUUCUGUGGACUAAUUUAUUACCAGACAUUUUGUGCCGAUGUUCAAGUGUAGCCCUAUUCUUAAAGGGGACUUUGACUGGGGUGGUACUUUGAGCAGGUCAUUUAUUUAUUUUCCCAAGGGUUUUCCUAAUAAAUGUGAAAAACCGGGAAAAAACGUAGACAAGAUAGGAAAAAUUACGGAAAUAAUGCUUUUAUUAUUAUUUUCAAUUUCGUUUUUUUAUUGUAAUAGUGAAAAAUAUUCGUAGAGACUUGACAUUUGGCCAGAAAACUUAUAUUUGUUUUUUUUAGGCGCGGUAACAUUUUCAAAUCAUUUAAACUAUUUCUAAGCUGUUGAUGGACAUUUUAAUUUUGAGAGGUUUUUUACGUAGUUUUGUAUUCGGUAGGUACUGUAUGUGGAUAAAAUUUUUAAAUUUAACAGAAAUAUUUGAAAAUUUAACAGGAGGUUCAUUAGAAGUCGUAUAAGGAACUUAAGUACCAAAUUUUGACGAAAAUAUUAAAUAUUGUCUUUCAAAACAUGCAUAUGCAUAAUUGAACCACGCUCAGAAUCGUUAUUCGAUAAUAAAUAUUAAUUAUUGUGUAUAGAAUGUAUACAUUAAAUUCCCAUCUAUAUCCCAUACCUUCCCAACUUCUCACGUACAACAGCGGCCCACCGAUCGUACGAAAUAGGUCCGACUUUUUUAAAUUACAACAUUUUAGAAGUCAAGAAACACAUAACAUUUACAGUUUUGAGUUAACUUUCCACGGAUCGUUCGACGCGACGCGAUUUCUCGUUUAUUAUUAGGGAUGAGAAGUUUUAGGCUAUUAAAAAUACGCACUUUUAUAUCUAUGUCUUCUAAUUACAAAUGGGCGAGCUGAAAAAUUAUUCCAUAACUUAGCGAGUUCAUAUUUGUGGUUUUUUUUUGCAAAUGUUUGUAUAUUCAGUGAAUUUGCACUUAUUAUUAAUGAAUUUUACCCCAUAAAACAAUAAUUGAACACAAAGCCCGUAUAGUUUCAAUAAUACAGCGUUAAAAAUCUAAAAUGCAAAAUGAAAUAUAAUACAAUAGGAUUUUACUUUAUUAUUUAAUUUUCGUACGCGUACUUUUUGACAUGUUUUCGUAAUUUUUUUAUUUUUUCUUUCUUUUUCGUGCGCGUAUUUUGUCAAUUCUUCGUCCUCCCCGGUGUAACUUCUCGUCCGCACCACUCGUGAUAUUACAACACCGCAAUGGACGGGCGCACCCUGCGCACGAUAACGACGCCCAUCGGUGUACAUUAUAAUACCGCGUACCCGCGCGUCGCACGGUUUUUUUUAAAAACCGCAACGUCGCGACGAACUCCCUGCCGAGUGGGUCGCACUAAUGAGUAGUUUCGCGCGCCCGAUCCCGACGUCUCUCGAACGCCCACACACCGUUCCCCGCGUAAAAACGUCGCCGCCGCGGCGGCCGUCUCGAGAGUGGCCGCGCCACUCGUAACUCCUUUUUACGCUUGGUUUUUUAUUUUUUCUCCCCGCAAAACACCGACGCGUGUCUGCCCGUCGCGCAUGCAGUCCGAAAGGCAUAAUGUCGUUACGUGUUAUUCUAUACGCACGGCACGUUAUUCCCCGGGGACCGGGGUCGAACCGCCGCCGAUAUCGCGCGUGUGCACACGCGGUCGUCAAGACGCGAUAGAAACGCACGGUGGAGGGGUGGGUGGGUUGACGGGGGGCGGCGAAAGCGACGACGUGUUGUUUGUCGCGCACUCGGGCGCGUUUCACGCGGGGAAACCGCGCGACGAGCCGUGACGUUAUUGUGCGCCGCGCAGGGGUGUGCCCGGCGGCGGCACGCUCGCCCGUUGGCCUACUGGCGUUUUUCAAAACGAUUUUUUUUUUUCUCCCCGGCGUGGUUCGCUUUUCUACGCGUACGUCCGUAAAGUCACCAAUUAUUCUCCGCGGAACCUGUCAAAAGGUGUGGUUGUUUUCGUUUCGUUUCGUUUUUUUUUUUUUUUUUCGUUUUUGAUUUCAUCGCGAUCCGGCCGGUUUCUCGGAGCGUUUCGCGCGAACCGAAGCGCCGCGGCGGUUUUCGCAAACGGUCGACAUCAUUCGUGUUCGCCGAUGUCUGGUUCGACCACGCGGUUUUUCAAACGUUUUUAUCCCCGGCAGCGGCGUGGACGAGCCCGGUAAACGCGACUCGGAAAAGUCGAGUACGGGGNNGGGGGGGGGGGGGGGGCUCGGUCGCCGUUCGGAAACAAGAGUUUGAUUUACGCUCGUUUACGGCAGGGUGCAGUUUUGAAAAUAUACUGCAAAUCAAAUCGUUAAACGGUUCAACAAUAUACGAGCGGAAAAAUAGAUUUUACACGAACUCGUUGUGCACCGAGGUUAAAAAAAAACAAAUUACCAUACAAUAAAAUAUUUUGAGUAAAAAACGAAUUGUCGGGAAAUGUUAAGAACAUUGCGAGUACGCGUUCUGUAUAAUAUUCGUCCGUAUUUAAAACACGAAAAAAUGAAAAUACAUUGAAAAACCGUAAAAUCAUUCGAAAAGUGAAAAGAAAACCGUCGAACAAUGUAGAAUACAAAUUUCACUUUUUAAGUAUCUUUUACACGAAUCGCAAAUUAUGUACUUGGAUUGCUCGAGAGCAGAAAAAAAAACGGUCUUAGCAUUGAAUACAAAAGUAAUAAUACAAUUGAAUGAUCCCACUGUAUAAUUAUUAUUACAUAGGUAUAAAAAUGAAAUAAAUCAAAGAAUACGCUCGAGUGGAAAGUUUUCGAACUUUUUCCGCAGGCCCUCGCGAUCGAAUCCCGGGGCAAGGGCUGCAGUCAAACAAUGUUUUUUUAUUAUUGUUAUUUAUUUAUUUUUUUUUAUUACACAACAUAAUAUUAUGCACCUGUUUAUAAUAUCGUGUACAAAACACCGUGUCUAACCGUAUUGAUUAUUAUCUGUGUCGGGAAUUCAGUCGGAACGAAAACGGCCGAGUGUAAUAAUAAUAAUAAUAAUUAUAUACACUCCCGAUAAAUGUGUGGGCUUCUUCGUGUUUUAACAGAUCGUUUUUCUCCUACGAUUUUAACCGGUUUUAGAAAUUGUAUUAAUUAGUAUUGGGAGAAAAAUUAAAAAGAUUUUUUUUUUUUUUUAACAUUUACAAUCCGAUUAUUAUAAUGAGCAAAUUCGACAGAAAGGUCCAGGAAGAAAAGUAUGAUCGAGGCAACCACCCGUUGACGGUAUCCCUAAAAAGAGUUUUAAAAGACAGAUAUAAAAAAAAUAGAUCAAAUCUAGAAAUUUUAUAGUUCUCAGUCGUCCGUUCCGGUAAAAAUUCUUUCUUUUCCACCACCGGUAUUUUACUCGGUUUUUAGUAUACACCCGCGGCUUCGGUUCGAAUGAUAUUUUAUGUUAUUUCCGGACUCGAUUCGACGACGUUUGAAAUAUUAGUCCGAGACUCGAUCGGCAAUGUUGUCGGCCCGUAUAGCUUGAUAAACGAAUAUUUAUUAACAUUGUCUUUGUUUUUCUGUUACAGAUAUUUUUGACGAAAGAGCCGCCUUGAUCGGUAAGCGUGCAGCGUUAUUUCAGAAUCAGUUGCGGAUAAUAAAAAACUAAUUAAAAACAAAAAUGUCCUCUCAGAAUGUCGCCGUAGUGAAUUUAACGUAAUUCGACAUAUACACACGAGCGUAAAAACUUCACGGUGAACCGGAUCAACGGGUCGCUAAUUAGGUAAUUCCGUCUCGUUGUCCUACGGACAUUGAACACGACAAUUGGCAAACCGCACGACACGAUGGUUCUGAGGCACGGAUUUUGCCGUCAAUGUUCCGAAGUGCUGCUCGUCGUCUGCACAAUUACAAUGGCCAUAACAGGUGAGUGAAUUCGGUUUCAUUAUAAUAUUUAUAAUAGUUACUGUUAAAUGGUUAUUGGGC
This 27653-nucleotide long non-coding RNA is filed under the name Cinara cedri. The record is from RNAcentral. Lineage: Eukaryota; Metazoa; Arthropoda; Insecta; Hemiptera; Aphididae.